CAGCUGGAGAUCAAACCACCUCUCCCUGGAGCGUGUUCUUCCCUCGUGCUUCUUUCUGUGGUUCCUAUUUUCACCUCUUCUCUUUCUGCACUUCCUCUCCUCAGUCUUGCCCCUUGCUAUUCAGUGUGGUCUGUGGACCAGGAGCAUCAGCAUCACUUGGGAGCUUGUUAGAAACAGAAUCUGCUUUUUUUUUUUUUUGGAGGACGAUUAGCCCUGAGCUAACAUCUGAUGCCAAUCCUCCUCUUUUUGCUCAGGAAGACUGGCCCUGAGAUAACAUCCGUGCCCAUCUUCCUCUGUUUUAUGUGGGAUGCCUGCCACAGCAUGGCUUCACAAGCAGUGCGUAGGUCCACACCCAGGAUCUGAACCAGGCAGCCAAAGCAGAACGUGCAAAUUUAACCGCUGCACCAGUGGGCCGGCCCCUAAACACAGAAUCUUGAGCUUGCCUCAGCCCUGCUAAAUCAGAACCUGCAUUUAAACAAGACCUCUAAAGGGUCCAUUAUGUUUCAGUAUCUGAGAAGCACUGCCCUGGGGUGCCAUGUUCCUCCUAGUCCAUUUCUUCAUUUUGGGACUGGACCUCUGGCAGAGCCAAAUGGCUGCGGGUUGGGGGGCACCCAGAAGGUAUAACCUCUCCUCCUUGAUCCACAAUUUUUCUCCAGCUAAAAUGGUAACUCCCAGGGUCUUUUUUUUUUUUUUUUUGAGGAAGAGUAGCCCUGAGCUAACAUCUGUGCCCAUCUUCCUCCACUUUAUGCAUGGGACGCCUGCCACAGCAUGGCUUGAUCAGCGGUGUGUACGUCCGCCCCCAGGAUCCAAACCAGUGAAUCCUGGGCCACCAAAACAGAGCACGUGAACUUAACCACUGUACCACUGGGCCAGUCCCAACUCCCAGGGUCUCAAAGAAACUUCAUGGAAAUAGCACAGAAACAACACAAGAAGGCUUUGUGAAGGUCAUUUUUGUGAGUAGUGAGAAAUCAAAACAGAAGUCCCACAGAUGGGGAAGGUCUGGGGCAGGAGUGGACGCAUGCUUUGGUUCUCUGAAGCCCAGGGGAAGGGAACAAUGUGUAAUUUGUGACCCAGUGAGAGGCAGGGUAUGCUUUCUCUCAGUUUCUGUGGGAAGCACACCUGGUGGCUCAGGAGUUUACCCUGAAGGUGAGGCACUGGCUUUCCUCCCUGUCUCUGUGGGUCUCUGAUGCCUCCAUUCUUUCAUUCUCACUAACUUAGAAAAGCCAACUUGAAAAUGCUCUAAUCUGAGGGAUCAAGUGUCUUGGCCACGAUGCUAGUCCUUGCAGAGGGUGUUCUCCAGGAUUAAUAUCUGCAGAGUUUGCUCUGAGACCACCACGCACAGGACCAGUAUCCCCCUGCAACUGAAAAGGUGGCAGCACCAGAAUCAUCAGCACAGCCUAGGAGGGUUUGUGACCUGGCAGAAGGUGACUUGCAUCAGGCGAGAGGAGCCACUGUGAGGAGCUCGGGUACAUAGUUGUACAUUUUAGCCGUGGGUCCUUCUAGUUGUGGCAUGUGGGACACUGCCUCAACACGGCCUGAUGAACAGUGCCAUGUCCGCGCCCAGGAUCCGAAUCGGCGAAACCCUGGGCCACUGAAGCGGAGCGCAUGAACUUAACUGCUCGGCCACGGGGCGGGCCCCAUCGCAGCCAUUUUUAAGUGUACGGUUCAGUAGUGUCUUGCGUUUUCCGAGAUGCUCCGGAACUCUAGAAGGACAAAGAAGCAUUUCACAUCCUUCUUCAGGGAAAGCAGCACCCUCCAAGGAAGAGUGGCUCCACCCUGACUAGCCACAGAGUGGCCCAAGGCCAGUCCCAGCCAAGUUCAUAAGGAGGCCUGCCAGUGUGGCAAUGCUGAAUCACCUGCUUGGUUUACUGGCAGUGACUGGCCUCACCAUGACUGGGCAAGACUGUGAGCUUUCCCAGUCUGGGCCAGUGGAUGUACGGGCAGAAUAGAGCUGGGGGUGAGGGCAGAGGCCUGAGCAGAAUGCCAAAGCUGGGAAAUGUUGCGGGCUCCUCCCACUACGCGGCGGCCUCUCUCCACCCUUGAUUAGGUCGGCUCCUGCUUCUCUGGUCCUCACAGGGAUGGGGCUUUCCACCGCAGCCCAGGUCCCAUCAUAGUACUUCCUGUCUCCAAUGCGACUCCAACCUGACCUGCAAUUGUGGUAUCCGGCAUGGCAGGGGGUGAUCUGCACCCCACACAAGCAAUGAGUCACAGCCUGUGUGGUCCAGUCUGUGGGCUAGUCACUUCCUGUCGUUCCUGCUGGAGCCCUGCGCCAGAGCCCAGUCAUUAGACAGGCCUUGACUUUAACCCAGUUAUUCCAGAAGCACCCCCACUUGUGUCCAGGGGACCUGGGAAGCUGGUGGUGGUGAGAAUCUUCUGCUCCGUCCUCCUCCAGGCCUGCUAGUCUUUCUUCUCUGCCUGCUAGUCUCUAAGAGAUUGUCAGAGCUACUAUGCUGCCCAUAACAACAAGGCCAAAACAACAGACAACUAAGGGAGGAGGGUGACAGAAAUCAAAGAAACAGAGAAUUCUCUGUCCCAGUCCCCACAAAAGCACCGGCCCCACCGCUUCUGACAACUGGUCUGCCUCUCAGCCAGCAUCUGAGCCUACGAUGUUCCCCUUCCUGGCGACAUAGUUCAUGCCAUUCAUGGAUUGUUCCUACUUAUUAGGAAAUUAUUCCUUAUAAUGAGACCAAAUCUGCUCUCCUAUAAUAUUUUUCAUCUUUUCAUAUGUUUAUUGGAUAUUUGCAUUUCAUUCACAAAAUAUUGUACCUUCUUGUCUAAUUUUCAAACUUAUUGCUCUAAAGUUGUACCUACUAUUUUUUAUCUAUUCAAAUAUCUAUUCUUUUGUCUUCUUUCUUAUUACAAACAUUAGUUUUAUUUUCUCCUUUUUCAACUUGAUACCACUUUCCAAAUGUUUAUUUUAUUGUUUUCCCUUCAAUGAGUUAGCAUUGGGUUUGAUUGAUCAAAUUUAUUUGUUUUUGUUUUAUUUAUUUCUGCUUUUAUCUUUAGUAAUUUCUGCUUAUACUUCCUUUUGAUUUAUUUUGCUAAUCACUUGCCAGCUUCCUGCUUGAAAACUUCGUUCACUUAAUGUCAGUCUUUCUUGUUUUAUUAUCAAUGCUCCUGUGGGUAUGCGUUUUCCUGAGUAUUGCUUUGAUCACAUCUCCCAGAUCUUGACAUGUAGCUCACUAAUUAUUUCUGAAUCGUUUGUAAUUUGUUUUUUUAAAUUUCCUUUUGAAACCAAGAAUCAUUUAGAAAGCCAUUAUAAAAAUUUUCAAGUUAACAAUUUUGGCUAAAUUUUUGUUAAUUUUUUUAUUCUAUUUAUUACAUUAAGGUUAGAGAAUACAGCCUGUAUGACUUCUCACUUUUCCGUAAUUCUAAUCCACCUGACUCAGGUCUGUUCUCUGGUCCCUCUUAAAUUUUUGUUCCUCUUUCAUGGGAUGCUCCAAUAAAUAAUUGACAGCAGUUACUUAGUGGUCUCUAUGGAGGGAGGGGAGUGUGCAGUCCUCCCCGGAGCCUUUUUCGUCUUCUGAGGGCUUCUUAAACUAUUCAGAUGGCUCACGUUUCUGCCCCCCAUCCCAUCACCAUCACUGUGUGCUGAGACAGAAAAGGAAAAUCUGCUCCAAGUUAGACAUUCUCGGUAGGACGGGUGUGGCGUGCCCUCACUGUCUGGGGUUCAUCUCUGGAGCUGUUUGAGUCUCUCCACGUCCCUCCUUGGUAAACCUACAAAGUCAACACGGUGCUCGCAGCCUGCAGGGAGCUGUACGUCUCUCUCUUUUGCCCUAGAGGCUGUACUUCUCUUAUGUUUCAAAGGAAGCUUUGUCUUUAUUAUAGCCCAGACCAUCAAGUAAAGCCCCCUGCCAGCGUUUCUCACACUGUGUUCCAUGGAAAACCAGUCUCGUAGAUAUUAAUAGGCGAUGUAUAGAAAGGGGUCUGUUUGGGGACUGCUGAAUUAAACAAAGAGAACUGACCACCAUGGGCAUCUCAGAGCCUUUGUAUUCUGUGUUAAUUGACUUUGUAAGAGGAGAAGGAAGCAUGGUUGUGUUUCCCAAACUAAUCUGGAAUGCACCCCUUCUGUGGGACACGAAGUCAGUGUUCCAGAACAGACACUGUAUGCCAUGCUGCCCAACGCCCUAUUUUCAAAUGUACUCCUAUGAAGCCUUUUGUUUGUCUUGAUCAAAUUUUAUUUAGCCCAGUGAUUAGAGUCAGUUCUUAACGCUACCCUUUCAGUGGGUUUGUAUCUUGAUUUUACAAUCUAGUGUUUCUGCCACCCCUCUGGGAUUCUUACUGCCGACAGAGCAGAUCAGCCUGACACCUGUAUUCUCACGUAAUGCACAGAUAAGCGCUCAGAAAGGACAGGGCCUUGCAGUGUGCCCCUGGCAUAGGGAGGACUCACAUUUCAUUCCAUGGAAGGACUUCGAUUGGUGGAGGCUGCCUAAACCAGCACCUGUGAGACUUCCUUGUGCAGGCAUGAAUUCAAUUUUUCCAGCCCUCAGGAUUUUAGAAACAACCUUUGGAAGGCAUCACAUAAGAAGCAACAGCACCAAUUAUAGAAACCAGCUAAUUUCCUAGAUGGAAUAUCAGUGGCCUGCGCCAGACAGGUGCCAACCAGUUUUGACAUUUCAAUGGAAACAGUACAACCAGGCUAGACAUUUAUGGUCUUUCAGUUAAAAUGAGCAAUAAACCUCCAGGUAAUUGCAUGUGUUGCUAUGUUUCAGCCCUUAAUCUACCAUCCAUAUCAGUUCUGAUGACUAAGAGGAAUUUGUGUGGUCCCA
This 4769-nucleotide long non-coding RNA is filed under the name Equus caballus (horse). RNAcentral's name for it is "lncRNA (ENSECAG00000053065.1)". Lineage: Eukaryota; Metazoa; Chordata; Mammalia; Perissodactyla; Equidae. The record is from RNAcentral.